GGAAUAUAAUAAGCUGACUCUUAAUUUUUAACUAAAAAAACUAAGAACCGGCUCUUAAAUAAGAGUUUUAAGAGACGGUUCUUAACUUUUUUAGUUAAAAUUUAAGAGACGGGUUCUUAUAUUCC
This is a non-coding RNA of Brassica napus (rape), 125 nucleotides long. Lineage: Eukaryota; Viridiplantae; Streptophyta; Magnoliopsida; Brassicales; Brassicaceae. The record is from Rfam.